This 199-nucleotide long non-coding RNA is filed under the name Gossypium raimondii (Peruvian cotton). Its description in RNAcentral is "long non-coding RNA (GRAI_LNC001378)". The record is from RNAcentral. Lineage: Eukaryota; Viridiplantae; Streptophyta; Magnoliopsida; Malvales; Malvaceae.
UGAAGACCUUGAAUGAAUUUUGAUUUUGAUUUGUAGCCCUCGGUCGAGUACUAAUGUUGGUACAUCAAGAAUGGGAAAUCGUAUUUAUUUGGUGGCCAAUUGAUGGUAGCCUCUCCACGCAGCGACGAGGGCACCAACAACGACAAUGAGGUCACCGCCACCUGCACCCUAACCCAAGCCAGAGCCUGUGUGGUCUUAU